GCCCUAGUAGCUUAGACUAAAAGCAUCG
RNAcentral lists this transfer RNA (28 nucleotides) under Barbus carpathicus. RNAcentral describes it as "partial tRNA-Thr". The record is from RNAcentral. Lineage: Eukaryota; Metazoa; Chordata; Actinopteri; Cypriniformes; Cyprinidae.